This 11351-nucleotide long non-coding RNA is filed under the name Homo sapiens (human). RNAcentral's name for it is "lncAB417.1". Lineage: Eukaryota; Metazoa; Chordata; Mammalia; Primates; Hominidae. The record is from RNAcentral.
CUACACCAGGUCUCAACUCAGAAAGAAUUCCAACUUUCUAACUAGUGCCAAGGGCAGGACCCGGAGCCGGAAGUGCUUGCCUUUUCCCUGUCAGGACCCAGAGGUUACCUCCCAUCAGCCCCGGCGCUCUCUCAUCCCUUCUCUCUUCCUUGGUGCUUCUUUUUCCUGCUCGGCAUCAUGGCUGCCCUCAGAUCCCUUGUGAAGCCCAAGAUCGUCAAAAAGAGAACCAAGAAAUUCAUCCGGCACCAGUCAGACCGAUAUGUCAAAAUCAAGCGUAACUGGUGGAAACCCAGAGGCAUUGACAACAGGGUUCAUAGAAGGUUCAAGGGCCAGGUCUUGAUAUGAUGCCCAGCAUUGGUUAUAGGAGCAAAAAAAAAAAAAAAAAAAAAAAACCAGAAAGCACGUGCUGCCCAGUGGCUUCCGGAAGUUCCUGGUCCACAAUGUCAAGGAGCUGAGAGUGCUGCUGAUAUGCAACAAAUGAGAAGAAUAAUGUCUGGGGUGAAGGUGAAGCACCCAGCCCAAGACUCAGCAGCCAGGAAGUGGCCCAGCGCUCUUUAUACCACGGGUGCAGGAAUUCACACAGAAAAGUGGAGGCCAAGGCGUGAGAAUUCCUCAAUGACUGCCCUCUAAAGGAAGAGGUGAGUGUGGGGCCUGCUCUGAGUGCUAAACACAGGCAGUCUCUGUGUCUCCCAAGGAACCCAAUCGCUAUCACAUUUGCUUUAAAUAUUUAGAGACGCACGAUUUGUUUCCUUGUCAGUCAAAGCCAAGAGGUGGCAUGUGAUGACAUGCUGCCAAAUGCUCAGGGCACAGACGGAAACUUUCAUGUCAACCCUGACAUAGUCACCACAGAUCUCAAUGGCCUUGACGUGCUCUCCUGCUGAGAUUUACAUCCCCACGGUGACUUUGGGCUCUUUCAUAUUUCUGGCCCAGUCAGCCUGUUUGGUGAUUAGCAUCUUUGUUUCUUUGGGGUCUCCAGAUCCAAAGAAAUCCUGAGGAAGCACAACAAACAAAAACACUCUGGAUCAGAACUUCCUGUGCCAGCGUUACAUCAGGGUUUUCUAGCAGCAAGGGCGGGCUCCACAUGGCUGAAGCAGGCAACCAGGAGGUAGGCAGGGCCCGGCCCUGAGGGGCUGAGUUGGGGGAGUCCCAGGUCUCGGGAAGAGUGAUCUCAGGCUGCCCUGCAGGUGUUCCUGGGGGAUCCUGGGACAGCAUCAGGGACGCUGGCCCCCAGUGCUUCCUUCCCAUCUCACAAAUGGGCAUUUGUUCAUCGGCUAAACAACACUUUCUAGACUAUUUGGGGCACUGCACAUGAAGUCUGCAGGGUCGGGGGUUCAUGAUCAGGCUGUCUCUCUCUCACAUAGUUUGGUAAAUACAGGACUGUUCCUAAACAGCAAUGAGACAACCUGGUGCACAGUUCCACAUAUCGAGACCUGUCAUCUUAUUCAGAUCAUAUGGGUGAUACCACAUGCUUCAGAGUGAGGCUGAGCAUGGGUUCCCCUAAACUUACACAGACAAAAUGACUUACAGUGUUUGCCGGCCCUCCGUGCCCUCCAUGCCCUCUCUGAGUCACCAGCAAACAUUCUGUGCCCUGAACUAGAGAAUCAUCACAUUGUCUUUGCCCCAGUUACUUUCCUGGAACAGAUAACAAGCAAACCUCUCUCUGGUUAGUUGCUUCUCGGCUGAAUGGUUAGGGAUCCUGUGCUGAGGUCAGGUCUGCAGGGGUGAGAACCUGAUCCGACAGUGGGACAGCAGGAGGCCAUGGGGGGAUCUGAGGCAGGGAAGGUGCUCAGGAGAGGACCUGAGAAGGAAGAGAUGGCUGUGGUCCUGGAGGCUCAGGGAUCAGGCCUAGGGCCUGUGUUCCUUCGGCCUCAGCAUACCUCUGAAGCGGUAUGCCCAGCUUCUCUGGGCAGGCCCUACAAUGUGUGAGAAACAGCCUCAGAACACCACCUCUUUUCAGGGUAGUUACCCAAAAUACACACGUGGGAGUUUGCCAGAGUUGAGGCAGCUUUUAAAGGUGGAGCUUUUCAAAAAGGGAAACUGGGAGCACUUACAGCCCAGGUCUAUGUUACUGGUAAGAAGUGGUUUGUCUCAGGAAUAAUGUACCCUGUGGAGAGUACUUUGUGUCAGCCUCACUGAGAACAAAAAAAGCACUCCUUUCCCCAUGAUUAACACUCAUGUGUCAGGAAAGUACAGUCAAUGUAUGCUAAAAAUCCACUUGAACAAUUAGCUCGCUUUUUUCCCUCAUUUGCUUUCAGAGUAAAUGUGCUUUCAGAGUAUUAGGUCGGCCUAAUAUAUGAUACAUUUUAAGAAGGGGAGGAAAGCGCAUUGUAUACCCUGAUGCUGGGACCCAAUAGAAGACAGGCCCCCUGGCUGGCCUUUGGUUCUCCCUGGAGCUGACAAAGGGAAGGGGCUUGGAAAGCAGCCACUGUCCCCGCCUAGUUUGGGCCUUUACAGACACACCUUUCCUUUUGGCAGCUGCUAUGGCACGGAUUCUCUAUGCCAGCACGAAGCUGGAAAACCUGCCUACCUGGCUGGUGAAAUGAGGGUGGCAGCUGGAGGAAACAGGCAUCUUAGGAGACUAGAAAUGUCCUUCAAAGGGACUUCAGUGAGUGCUCAGGGGACCAGGGGUGACUGUGUUAAGAAGGGUUAGAGGUUGAGAGGGAGCCAUGAGCUUGGGUCAUCACCCCAGUGAGACCAUCCAGGCACACAGCUCCCAGGCUUGGGAGGCCGCCUCCAGUCCACCAGGACCCUCAGGGAGCUGUGACUUCAUUGAAGCUGGGUCUAAAGGCUUCCUUCAAGGCUCAGCAAACUGGGUUUUCAAAGAUUUUUGAUCCCUGAAGCUAAUUUACACGUUAUGUGGGGCCAUGGCAAAGACUUGGCCCUGAAGUGGACAGAAAGAGGCUGUGCUGAGUGAUGAAUGAGACUAAACAGUGUUCUCAUGCUUGGUGAUUUUGAUGAGAACAUACUACAUAAGAGUUAAGAGCAUUAUAAUUCCCUUUAUCACCAUAUAAACAUGUCACUUAUCCGGAAAGCAUACAAUUUAUUUGUACAUGAGAAUGUAAAUUUAAAAAUUUUCUGAAAACUAGAUUAAAUCUUGAGAAGCAAUUUUCAAGUAAACAAAAACAUGCCAUGUUAAUCAGCACUAGAUCUCCCCCACCCCCCACAUAAUGUGUAUGUACACAUUUCUCAAAUUCAGACUGCAGUACAGCUGUCUCCUUGGAGGCGUCAGGGGUUCCUAAGCCUAAAUUCUACCUCUAGGGUCUUGAUCCCUCAAGAGUUCAUCCUGAGUUAAAAUUUUGUUAUCCCCGGAAGCAGAGAUGCACUGACUCUGGUGAUCUCAGUAUGAAUGUGGUAUGAAAUCUUCUAGGUGUCUGUGGUGGGGCCUGAGGGAGGGUAGGAAAGGUGACGAGGAAAAAGUAGAGGGAGCCUGAACACCCUGGGUCUCAGGUACGGAGUGAAGAAAUCACUAAGGUGAAAAGACAGGCUGGGGCCCAGGAGCUCGUCCAAGUCCUGAUGAACAACAAGUCCUGGGCAACAUCACAGGCCACCAAACACACCUUCAGCUCCAGGGUCGAAUAGAUGGUGGAAGAGCACAGCCAUCUGGAAAAUCAGAAAAAAGUGGGGAAGAUUUUCUAUCUUGAACUUGUGAGCUGGAGAAUUACCAUUAGUAGCCCACUAAUAGGUUAUGGCCGAUGAGUCCCUUCAUAACACACUGAGAGCCACUUUUGACACUCCCAGAAAAGGCAGGUUAACAAAACCCCUUGAUGGAAGGAAGACCCUCAUUGCCCAAUGUACCCAAGCCUCUUUGAACCUUGCUUAGACUGAACUGCAAAUGUCUUGACUGCUCUGGGCUCCUUAGUGCAACUCCUUCCCACAGAAGCCAUCAGGAGCCUGGUCCAGGAAGCUCCUCUCCUACACCUGCCUUAAAAGGCCCAGCUCUGCUGGGGAGUAAGGUUCAUGGGGGCCGUCCCAAUGCAAAAGGGAAUCUCUGCCAUCACCCACUGCAACCACAUGGUAGCCACUCUGCAGCCGGCAGGCGUGAGGCAUGCUGCGCUAACAUGGGAGGGCGGAGGCUCUGCCUGACUUCCCAGAAGCCCAGUGAGAAGUCCAGGACAAUCAGCAGGUGCUAUGGGAACCUUGGCUGGCAGGCACCAUGUCGUCCUGUAUGAUCGGCAGGACCGGCUCCUUCCUGAAGACACCGAUUCUUGGCGGCUCCUGACAAGGAUUGAGAGGAUUUGUGGGGGACAGCCCUGAAGCCCUGAGCCCUCAACUCAAUGAAGGGAUUGUGCUGGUGUAGACCCACAGCCAUCCAGCUCUGUCACUGAUGAAGGUCUGAACUGCCAUACUCUGCCCCUUUGGUGUCAGCCUUAAAGGUCAGUUUUAGGUGAGUUUCAACCAGUGGCUGUAGAUGGGUCCUUUGUUUACCAGUUUCCCCACAUCCUGUCUGAGACCAUUGCUAGUUUUUGUCUGCACCAGUCUUAGGGAAAACAACCUGGACACCGUGGGUGAGAUCACCAGUGGGCUCCAAGCCAGAGCAUGGGCCUGGGACAGGGUGGGUUACCUUGGCAUACUCUAACAUACUCAAACCUCAUUUCUUUUGGGGUGAUCAGACCCAACAGCAGGUCAUGGGGGCGACGAAGUCCAGUGGAGUCCAAGGAAUGAGAAAGACAGUUUGAGAGACAAAAUGGGACCAGGGGGCUAUCACAAGUGUGGAGGCUGCAACAAACAGGUGGUGAGGAUGUGGGGGUUGAAAGGAAACGGUGUAUCAAGUGAAUGAGAAACAUAUGGCUACUUGAGAACAUGGGAAUGCUAGAAGCAAGGAGCAGCAAGUCUAGCAAACAUGCAAGCCCUGCCUCAGCUUCUCUCCCAACACUCAGCUUUUCUUCCAACACAUUUCAUGUGCAAGGUUCUCGUGCCCACUCCUCUUGUACAGUUUGGCAGCCUCAUGGAGCUUCCCUGGUAGGAAAACACAUCUGCCAGAAACAGGUCAUUGUUGGUCUCUCCCCGCUUCUUCCUCUCCUGGAAAAAUUAGAAGCAAAGGAAAUGGCCUCUGCAGCCAUGGGCAGAAAGCAGCCUUUACAAAGGUUAGAUGUGGCUAUUUCAAGUGAGGCCCCUGGGCCUUCCUACUGGAACCUGGGCUUGGCUCCUGGCUGUUGUCUCUCUCCCCUAGGUUCCCGCUGGGAAGGCUUGAUAACAAAAGCAGGCUUUUACCAGACAAGCAAAGAUCAAAAAAAGAUGCAAACCUUUGUUUGUUUAAUGGAAAUUCCUCAGGGUUGCUUUCCUGUGUAUUCCAAAGCUAUGACGGAAUAGUUUGAAUAGUGUGUGCUCUGACUCAUCCAUGACCCCUAAGCUCCCAAGAUCUCCCAAAUCCGCAGGCCCCGUUUGGCAGAGUUGUGGCUCAUGGGGAUGACAGAGCAGAAUGUUUAGGGUUUCUGCCCAAGAGGGAGACCAAUAAAAUAGGAUGACAAGUCUUACGAUGUCCCUACUUCUAAAGAGAAGGUAAGAAAUCCCGUGCUGAACAUCCACUAGGUUCUGGGUAUAUACUUUAUACACACAUGGCCCCUUUAUUCCUCUCAGUGACCCUCAGGGUAGGUCUCACUACCCAAGUGUUAGAGUGAAGGACGCUGAGACCAAGAAGAGGAACAGGUCAGGGUCAGACAGAGCUGGAAUUUGGACACAGUUCUGUCUGACUCCAGAUAUUCCUUGUAUCACACAAUACUGUCUUCUGAAGCAAGUGAUUGUCCCCAACACACACACACACACACACACACUCUCUCUCUCUCUCUCUCUCUCUCUCUCUCUCUCUCUCUCUCUCAGCAGAGCUGAGGAUAAAGAGGAAUAUCCUGCACACUUCUUCCUUCUGUGUCAGGGAACAUUUGCUUGUCUACAGCUCGAGUAUUUGUAAACACUCAGUAGCACCCAAACCCUGAGCCCUAGCAGUUUCCUUUUGCUUGUUUACUAGCAAGAGUAGCAUGUCGGAGGACGAUGAGACAUUGAAUCAAACUCUUAGACAAGCUGGUGAAAGUUUUAACGACUGCUGGAGGCAACAUGCUUCCACACUGACAGAAAUCAUCUUUCAAAAAUCCUGCACAUAUCUCAGGCUUAUGAAACAAACUAAUUCCUAAUAGUUGGAAAUGAAUUAAAAGCUUGCGGUGAGAUAAAAGAUAGAUUUUGGCUGGAUGUGAUGACUCAUGCCUGUGAUCCCUACACUUUAGGAGGGCACAGCAGGAGGAUCGCCUGAGCCCAGGAAUUCAAGACCAGCCUGGUCAACAUAGCAAGACUCUCUCUCUGCAAAAAAAAAGAAAAAAAAAAAAACCUCCCAAAAAAAAGGUUUUACUAGGCAUGAAAAUGAGUCCAUUUCCAUUCUAGGCCCCAGGAUAUCACCAUGACCAAUAAAAACAAUCUGUGGCACUCAGCAGGUGCAUGUCAACAUGGGCAGGUUCUUUCUCCCCGUCAGCAGGACAAGAACAUCUCCCCUAUCCAAAAGGCACCCACUGAGGAUCCGCAGUUCUCUGGAAUUAUGCUGAGCACCCAGAUGUGUGCAACUAAGCCCUGAGCAGUCGAUGUGGAGCGCACUUGAAGGCACUUCAUUUUUUUUUAAGAUACACUCUUAGGAGUUUACUUUAACCCACUUCCCAGCUCAUAGCACACGAGGAGAGGCAGACAUUUUAACCUUGGUAAGACCUGACAAAUGACAAUAGUUGGACCCCACAGCAAUCAUUACUUUUGUAGACAGCAAAGUUAUGCUCCUUGGCUUCAGGUGAAGACCCCCAGAUCCAGGCCAGUGGAUUUACAAGUGAGAGUCAGCAGCACUGGGCAUUUCAGGCAAUAGCUCUGAACAAGCCCUUUACCAUGCGGGUAGGUAAACCCCAGAAUAUACAGAUGCCCCUUACGAUACAUGGGUGGGGAGGGUAUGUGGCCGAGAGAGCAUAAGCUUAGGAGACAGAGUGGAUUUGAAUUCCACUGAGCUUUUGGCUGUGGACCCAUGGGGACGUGGCAUAUGUCUCGCUGAGCCUUAGUUUCCUCCUGCAUGGAAUAGGGAGAGCAAUAGUACCUGCCUCAUUCAGCUAACGUGAGGAUCUAGAGCAGCAUUUGCAUAAAUGACGCGUGGGGCACAGAGCAGACUCAACACAGAGCAGCUUACGUUAUGAGGCUUGGCAGGCUGGGAGCUCCUGUCGGCCUCUCUCCUCAGCUCUGUGCCCACUGAGCUCGGCACAAGGGUUGGCCCAUGACAGGUGUUUAUUAUGUGGAAAUAAAUGAGAGGGACAAGACAUUUGCUGAUUUCUUCACUGUUUCCAACUGGGAAUUCAAAUGUAUCUCACGUUCCCAUACCCUCACAAUAAAUCUGUUCAGGAGAAAAAAUGUGUACGCCUUUUAACAGACAGCACUGAGAUAUACAGAAAGUAAGAACUUUCAGGCUGGGCGCGGUGGCUCACGCCUGUAAUCCCAGCACUUUGGGAGGCUGAGGCGGGUGGAUCACGAGGUCAGGAGAUCGAGACCAUCCUGGCUAACACAGUGAAACCCCGUCUCUACUAAAAAUACAAAAAUUAGCCAGGUGUGGUGGCGGGCACCUGUAGUCCCAGCUACUCAGGAGGCUGAGGCAGGAGAAUGGCGUGAACCUGGAAGGCGGAGCUUGCAGUGAGCCAAGAUCGCGCCACUGCACUCCAGCCUGGGCGACAGAGCAAAACUCCGUCUCAAAAAAAAAAAAAGAAAGAAAGAACUUUCUGUCUAAGGGCAGGGCGUGGUAGCUCAAGUCUAUAAUGCUAGUACUUUGGAAGGCUAAAGUGAGCUAAUUGCUUGAGCCCAGGAAUUUGAAACCAAACUGGGCUACAUGGCAAAACCCUGACAAUACAAAAAAUACAAACAAAGUUAACCAGGCGUGGUGGUGUGCACAUGUGGUCCCAGCUACUUGGGAGGCUGAGGUGUGAGGAUUGCUUGAUCCCAGGAGGUCUAGGCUUCAGUGAGCCAUGAUUGUGCCACUGCACCCUGGCCUGGGGAACAGAGUGAGACCCUGCCUCAAAAAAAAAAAAAAAAAAAAAGAAUAAAAGGAAUGGUGUCUACCACCACCCAGCGCCCAGUUUCAUUAGCCCACUGCAGGCCUAUUGGGUUGGAUGACAAACUGAAUAUUCUCAGCCAGGAACAGUAGGGCUGGGAGUUGCUCCAGAACUCUGGGGCGCUCAGUUCAGACUGUGGGCCUUGCUCCCCAGGUCCAUUUCUGGGGAAUGGAGCUCAGCUCAUGUGCAUUUGGGAAACUCCUCCAGCGCUAUCAGAUUACUGGAGUCUGAGAGGAUGGUGACCAGCUAUCCGCCACCAGGAGGAUGCAAACCAGUUCCUGAGAACCUACUGAAUCCUCACAGCAGCCUGUGACGUAGGUCCAAUCCCUUUUCACAGACAAGAAACCCAACCCUGGAGAGAUCGGGAACCCAUCUGCCUCAGUCAGUUACCACGUGACAGCUCACACUGCCCACUGCUGUCUCCUACUGUGUGGCCACUCUGCCCCUGGAGCAAGGCUGUGGCCCAGAUGCCCAGACGCCAGUGAGCUCUGCUCCCGUGUCCUCAGGGCUUUUGCCUGCUGAUAUGGUUUGGCUGUGUCCCCACCCAGAUCUCAUCUUGAAUUCCCAUGUGUUGUGGGAGGGACCCCGUGGCGGGUAAUUGAAUCAUGGGGCAGGUCUUUCCCAUGCUGUUCUCAUGAUAGUAAGUCUCACGAGAUCUGAUGGUUUUAAAAAGAGGAGUUCCCCUGCACAAGCUCUCUGUUUGCCUGCUGCCAUCCAUAUAAGCUGUGACUUGCUCUUCCUUGCCUUCUGCCAUGAUCAUGAGGCUUCCUUAGCCAUGUGGAACUGCAAGUCUAAUUAGACCUCUUUCUUUUGUAAAUUGCCCAGUCUCACGUACAUCUUUUCCAGCAGCGUGAAAAUGAACUAAUACACCUGCCACAAGGGCUGCCCCUGAACCCCGAACCCCAAGUCCACUUUCUUGACAAGUAAGAAUGCUUCAACUUUUACCUCAAUGCUGCUGAUGAGGUCUUGUACUCUGAUGAAAGCCUGUGGGGAAUAAUAAAAUCAGCUGCCUUCUUGGCUUCAAAAGUGGGUGACUGGCUGGGGGUGGGAAGUCAAGCUCACCUAGACAGUGAGCCACAGAGGAGAGGAAGGGAGCAAGCACAAAUUAAUCAUCGUGCGUGCAGGAGGUUAUACCACCCAGUGAGGCGCGGCUUUAUCCCCAAAAUUGGAUCAUGCAAAGAACAGCAAAGACAUCCCGGUUGCAUCAGUCAUUUUGGGAUCAGGUAAAACAAAACCGCGAUGCCACAGUCUGUGGCGGUGCCUCCUUGGGAGACUCUCGAGCCAAAGAAGAAGCCAGUUUGACCCUCGGCGGGGGGCGGGGGGGGCGGGCAGGCAGCAUCACAGCAAGAGAGAGAGAGAUGCAUGGACUGAUGAGAGACUGCCUAUACAUCUUGGCGACAUGGGUAGAAUGCAGGGGACAGCUGUGCCUACCCAGUCGUGCCACAGACACAGGGGACCCAGAGCACCUGGUACUGCAGAGGGCGUGGAGGAGGGGAAAGCUGAGAGGGCAUAAACACAGAUUCUUGGAGAAGGUGGAGGGGUAGGGAAUGAAUCCCGCCAAGUCUGUGGAAGGCAAACUCUUAUAUAAAUCCUAAAAUUGCAGCCCUUGCCUUGAACUCACAGUAAAGCCAGAGACUUUAACUCAUGGACCUCUAGAAGUUUCUGAGGAACAAGCAGACUGGUGUUAGCUAAGCUAGUUUUGCUGCUUUCAGAUUCUGCCCAGGGUUUGGAGGAGCACAAGCCACCAGGUCAGGCUGCUUUCAGGUGGCUUUGCUGUCACCAUUUAUCGCCCCAUUCAAAAUGGGCUGACCUGUGCCUAGAGGAGGCAGCAGCUCCAGAGCCCUUUGAACCGAACACGCAGAGCAAUCCUGACCACUUGCAGCCUCUGCUCAGCAGCAUGGCAUCCUCCCUCCUGAAAAGACCUCAGGGGAUGAGCGAGUCCCCAGCCUCUGGCUGCCUUGCAGGUGACCACAAUGCAACUUCAUCUUUUCAUCCCACAGGACCAGGCUUCCUGUCAGAGACUGAGGACCCAGGAAGAAACAUGUCUCGGCCCCUGUCCCCCUCCACAAUUCAGAGGCCACAUUCUAACAGGGGAGGCUGACCAAUUAAACAGAUAAUGACACCUCCUAGAGCUAAGAGCUCUCCGACUAUGAACCAGAUGCCUGGAGAACACGGAUGAAUGGUCUGAGCAUGAGCAGGGGUGGGAGGCAGCGUUAAGGGAGGCAUCAGAGUCAGAACCUAGCAAACAAGUGUUUGUGAAGAAGAAUUCAUAGAAAAGGGCAAUGCGGGCAUCACAUGGGCUAAGGAACAGAGGGGUAGCAGUAGCUGUUGUGCCAAGCUGCAGGUGUUAUACACUACCCUCUAGAUCUGGGUUUCCUUAAAACACCUUGAGAGGACAACCCUGCAAAGCACGGCACAGUGGCCGAGAGGGAAAGGAGCAUUCGAGGUCUCAGUCCUCGCUCUGAGCCUACUUCUCUGCUUCUGGGCUCCAGCCAUCUUUGUGGAAAGGGGGCUGCUAGUGACACCCUCUCAAGGGUCUUUCCAGCUCUAGGUCGGCUGUGCUGGAGUCUAGGAUUUGCCCACUGAGAAAUCUGUUUCCAAGUUCCUUCAACCUGAUGCAUCCUGCAGCAUCACGGCAGCUGUUCAGAGUGGUCAGAAGGCCCCUGAAUGAGCUCAGUAGAGGGAAGCCUGGGAACAGGGAGGCACCUGCAGCUCUACUCAUGGCCUGGCCAGAGCUCAGCAGCUCUUCUCUGCCAUCUAGUGGGGAUGGCAUACCAUCACUGGGGACCACCCUGUGCAAACUGGUGAGCCUGAGUGCCUGUCACAGAGGGAAAGAAAGGGGGGGGAUACAGGAUUUAGAUGAAAUAGCAACUCCUACCCUAUUGUCAAAAUCAUCCAGCUUUUUCAAAACAUCAUAUUGUACUGAUUUUUUUGUGUUUUUGACAGAGUCUUGCUGUGUCACCAAGGCUGGAAUGCAGUGGCAUGAUCUCGGCUCACUGUAGCCUCUGUCUCCCUGGUUCAAGCAAUUCUGCCCCAGCCUCCCAAGUAGCUGGGACUACAGGCAUGCGCCACCACACCCAGCUAAGUUUUGUAUUUUUUUAGUAGAGUCAGGGUUUUACUUUGGCCAGGCUGGUCUUAAACUCCUGGCCUCAACUGAUCUGCCUGUCUCGGCCUCCCAAAGAACUGGGAUUACAGGCAUGAGGCACCGUGCCUGUCCCAUGUUGUACUUAAUAGAUAUUUACCAUAUACAAUUAUUUUUUAAUUUAAAUAAAUCAAUGAACAGUGUUAUUUUUUAAA